This 253-nucleotide ribosomal RNA is filed under the name uncultured bacterium. Its description in RNAcentral is "partial 16S ribosomal RNA". It matches the Rfam family "Bacterial small subunit ribosomal RNA", at positions 524 to 776 of the family's 1533-position model. The record is from RNAcentral.
GACGAACCGUCCUAACGUUGUUCGGAAUCACUGGGCUUAAAGGGCGCGUAGGCGGCCUUGAAAGUCGGGGGUGAAAUCCCACGGCCUAACCGUGGAAGUGCCUCCGAUACUGCAAGGCUCGAGGGAGGUAGGGGCAGCUGGAACUUCCGGUGGAGCGGUGAAAUGCGUUGAGAUGCGGAGGAACACCGAUGGCGAAGGCAGCCCCCUGGGCUGACACUGACGCUCAGGCACGAAAGCGUGGGGAGCAAACAGG